Non-coding RNA from Chelonoidis abingdonii (Abingdon island giant tortoise), 920 nucleotides. Lineage: Eukaryota; Metazoa; Chordata; Testudines; Testudinidae. The record is from RefSeq and is a predicted model, not a curated record.
GACAAGGGGGGUGAGGAUUGGAGCUGCCCUGGGACUGCCCUACUCUUACACUGUAGUUUGGAGUGUGGGGUAACACGCACGUGUCCUCCCAACUCUGCCCAUGGCUCAGGGCUUCUCAGGGCUUCAACCCUGCUGCUCCCAGCUUCAGCCCAGUAGGGGGGCACCAGGGAUCGGGGCUUCAACUCCGUGGGGUUGCCGGGGACCAGGCUCUGGAUUUUAGCCAUGGGGCCUGUGGCCCCCCUGAAAGGAUUCACGGACCCCUACGGGGCCACAGACCCUCUGAGAACUGCUGUCAUAGAAGACACAUCUCUAGUUUCUCUCUUUGGGAAGGAAGAUCUGUAGCCAGUCCAUAUCUAGUGCAGAAGCCUGACCUGCUAAAGCAGUCCUGCAAUCUACAGUGAAGAAGACAUACACGACAUGGUGUCAAGAGUAAAUUAAUGCCAUAGGAGAAUGGCAACAGAAGGAAACAGAAAUAAAGAUUCUUCACUGCCCCAGAGAACUUCAGCUUUGAUUGUCCAUCCAGAAGGUCUGACAUAGAAGCAACAUUUUGCAAGUUUUCGUAUUUCUACAAAACUCCAUAAGGAAACUGGAGAUAUUCAGAACAACUAGUGUUGGACAAUGGACCAUGGUUCACCACAAGAGUAUGUAAGUUAUUCCAAGUGAAAUAUGAUUUUGAUAUGAUUACUAGUGGCCCACGUUACCCAUAAGCGGGUGGAGAGGCUGAGAGCUGUAUAGACAGCCAAGAAAAUCCUAUAGCAAGAAGAUCCAUUCCUUGCUCUUCUCAACUACAGAUCAAAACUCAUAAUAGCUCCUGAUGGGAAGAUAACUGAGAACUACUGUUCUGACUUUGAAAAAGAAUCUUAAUGUCUGGCCACUUAGAAUACAGAGUACGCAAACUGGAUAAAAAGGCAAGAAGAACU